CUCUUCCAUACUCUAGACACCCAAGUAUAAAAAUGCAGUUCCAAAGUUGAGCUCUGGGAUUUCACCUCUGACUUUCAUGUCCGCCUGCGUGCGCUUUACGCCCAGUAAUUCCGAAUAACGCUUGCCCCCUUCGUAUUACCGCGGCUGCUGGCACGAAGUUAGCCGGGGCUUCUUCUGCGGGUACCGUCAUUAUCUUCACCGGUGAAAGAAUGAUACAACCCUCCUGCCUUCAUCGCUCUACCACCAUGAGGGGAUCAUGCUUGCGCCCAUAGGCCUGGAUUCCCCA
This 286-nucleotide ribosomal RNA is filed under the name Ensifer adhaerens. Its description in RNAcentral is "partial 16S rRNA". Lineage: Bacteria; Pseudomonadati; Pseudomonadota; Alphaproteobacteria; Hyphomicrobiales; Rhizobiaceae. The record is from RNAcentral.